Molecule: unclassified non-coding RNA, 669 nt
Filed under: Drosophila pseudoobscura pseudoobscura
Lineage: Eukaryota; Metazoa; Arthropoda; Insecta; Diptera; Drosophilidae
Description: GA31660
Source: RNAcentral
AAGGUAAACAAUGCAUGUGCUUUGCGUGGAAAGACACUAAAUAAAAAGAGACAAGCACUUGCAGUAAUAACAAUACAGGUAAGUAGUAGACUGGAGUGGAGACGACGGAAAAACAGGUAAUAAAAGAGAUACUACACUGGAACAAAGACGAGACAAAACAGCUACAGGGAAGACUAGAAGCAUCGGCCAGCAUAGCAAAACACAAUGCUUGUAAAGACAUUGCGUUGCAUACCGGCCGACCCCGUCGUCCCCCCUGGUCGUCGAAAUUGGCGUCAUCCAGAGUCGUCAGAGGUAGCUGCAAUUAGCACCUCGUCGUCGUUGUGGCUGUGGCUGCCCUCUUGGAGAACCAGUGGCACUGGUCCGGCCACCAGCUGGGAGCCAGGAGUAGACGGCACAUAUAUUACUGUGGCGACACGGGUCCGGCCGCCAAAGUGAAAUGGAUGACCAUAGGGCACUCUGAAUGCCAUGGCACUGGAUCCGGCCACCAGCUAAGGACGAUGGCGAUGGCAUAACUCGAACGGCACAGUGGCAGAGAUGUGUCCAAUCAGUACACAGCGUUCCAGGAUAUCUGGUUGUCAAGAUGGUACCUCAUGUUGCGGGCGUAGGCCUUAAUGUCAUCCAUGGAGUCGUCAUCUGUCCACAUCUCAUCGUCAUCGUUUUCUUCAUCCG